This 346-nucleotide RNase P RNA is filed under the name bacterium. Its description in RNAcentral is "RNase P RNA component class A". It matches the Rfam family "Bacterial RNase P class A". Rfam says of the family: Ribonuclease P (RNase P) is a ubiquitous endoribonuclease, found in archaea, bacteria and eukarya as well as chloroplasts and mitochondria. Its best characterised activity is the generation of mature 5'-ends of tRNAs by cleaving the 5'-leader elements of precursor-tRNAs. The record is from RNAcentral.
UUAGCAAACUAGGCAAUCGCUGACUUCAUGAUAACAAAUUAUGAGGUUGGAGGAAAGUCCGAACACUCCAUUGAAUAGUAGCGGGUAAUCCCCGUCCGCCGUAAGGCGCGAGGUGCGAACAGUGACGCUUUUUAUUGAAAAAUAAAAAGGCCCCAGCAAUUGGGGUAAUCUUCGCAGAAGCGAAGGGUGAAACGGCUAAAUCCUUACUUGGGUGCAAGAGCAAGCGAUUAGACAAUCUCCGGAUUUGCCUAAUCGUAAAAAGUAGCUCGCAUGACCUUAAUAGUAAUAUUAGGGCUAGAUAAAUGAUUGUCCUCGACAGAAUUCGGCUUAUCGGUUUGCUAAGGUU